GGUGGGGACCCUUCAGCGGCGGAGAGCCAGCCGUUUGUCAACAUUUUCUGAGUGCCCGCUAACAGCCGUAGACGAGCCAAAAUUUCACCUACUUUUUAUUGAGCGCCUAUUUUCAGGUGUUCCUGAGACGUCUCAAAUUAAUGGAUUCCCAGCACCAGUUAUACAGGGAGAUUUGAUGCACCUGACUUAUAAAACAUCUGGUAGGAAACCUGCAGCUCCUGAUUCUUCAGUGUUCCGUGGCCAUGAGUGAAGAUCCAAAUGAAGAAAAAACAAGAUCCUUGGCUUGCAGACAUUUGGGGGUGUCUUUGGGGAGAUAAAACAAGCUAUGGAGAAUAUUUUCCUGUAAAGGGGAAUACGUGACAUAAUGUAAACUCCAAAGCACUUGUUAUAA
Molecule: long non-coding RNA, 391 nt
Organism: Panthera uncia (snow leopard)
Lineage: Eukaryota; Metazoa; Chordata; Mammalia; Carnivora; Felidae
Exons: 2
Source: RefSeq, a predicted model, not a curated record